GUGUGUAUGUAUCACUGCACACACAUCCUCACUCUGACAGAGGGAGUCUGCUCUGUACAGAACACACAGUUUCGCUUCGGUCUUUGUGUGCAUGGAAGUGUGUGUAUGUGUGUGUCUGUUUGUGUGUGUGUGUGUGUGUGAGGACCACGCUCCAACAUGUUGUGUGGACUGCGGAGAGAAGUAAAGAGCAGCUUUGAUGAUGGGCCUUACUCCAAAGGCAACAAGGAAUCUACAGGUCCUGACAGUUCCCUUGUCUCCAGAAGACAGAGCAUCCCAGAAGAGCUGCGGGGGGUGACACUCGUGGAGCUGAUUAAGAAGGAGGGCAGCACACUGGGUCUCACCAUCUCAGGAGGAACAGACAAAGAUGGAAAACCUCGUGUCUCCAACCUCAGACCAGGAGGCCUAGCAGCCAGGAGUGACCAGCUGAAUGUGGGCGACUAUAUAAAGUCAGUGAACGGCAUCAAUCUGACUAAGCUGCGUCAUGAUGAGAUCAUCAGCCUGCUGAAGAACGUGGGCGAGCGUGUAGUGCUGGAAGUGGAGUAUGAGCUGCCUCCAGCCGGAUCAGACAGCACCUCAGGUGUUAUAUCAAAGACAAUCGAGAUUUGUUUACACAAGGAAGGCAAUAGUUUUGGCUUUGUAAUGCGGGGAGGCUCUCAUGAAGACUGGCACAAAACUCGCCCAUUAGUAGUUACAUACAUUCGGCCAGGAGGUCCCGCUGACAGAGAGGGCACACUGAAGGCAGGUGAUCGGCUCCUCAGUGUGGAUGGUGUGCCGUUACACAGUGCCAGCCACAGUGAAGCCCUUAAUGUGCUGGCACAGUGUAGCCAGGAGGCCAUCUUCCAAAUUGAAUAUGAUGUGACCAUUAUGGAUUCAGUAACAAAUGCCUCUGGCCCAUUGCUGGUGGAAAUAGCCAAAUCUCCUGGAGCAAGUCUGGGCAUCACAUUAACUUCUGCCACACACAGGAACAAACAGGUGAUCAUCAUUGACAAGAUCAAAGCUGCCAGCGUGGUCGACAGAUCAGGAGCUUUACACGUAGGUGAUCACAUCCUCACCAUCGACAGCACAAGUACAGAGCACUGCACCAUGCUGGAGGCCACUCAGCUGUUAGCCAGCACCUCAGAUGUGGCCAAGCUAGAGAUCCUUCCUGCUCAUCACAUGCGAUUGACCAGCAAAGCUCAGGACACUGUGAAGGUCCAGAAAAGCGACCACCCACAUUCUUGGGACCCGUGUGUGAACUACUGCCAUUCUCAGCAUACUACUCACUGUAAGACUUCCACGUGGAUGUCCACCUCGAGCAAUGCAUCCAGCACUCAGGACUACUGCAAAUCUGUAGUCUGCACUAAUUUCUCCCCCGCCUCCACCACUACAUCGGGCAUGACGAGUCAGUCAUCCAGCACUCUGCCCCGCACUCCCCAUCCCAUGAGCCCCCGCAACUCCAUGCUCAAGAGGAGACAGAGGAAAAAAGAGCACAAGAGCUCAUCAGCAUCUCUAGCCUCAAGUUCAGUGGGUCCUGGAGGUCAGAUAGUUCAUACAGAGUCCAGCGAGGUCACUCUAACAGGAGAUCCUCUCAGCGGCUUCGGAGUUCAGCUGCAGGGGGGGAUAUUCGCCACUGAGACGCUAUCCGCACCUCCAGUGAUCCGAUUUAUAGAGCCUGACAGCUCAGCUGAAAAGUGUGGGCUGCUCCAGGUUGGCGACCGGCUCUUGUCAAUCAAUGGCAUUCCCACAGAGGAUGGCACGAUGGAGGAGGCCAAUCAGCUGCUCCGAGAUGCUGCUUUGACUAAUAAGGUCAUGCUAGAGAUUGAGUUUGAUGUAGCAGAGUCAGUAGUGCCCAGUAGCGGUACCUUUCAUGUGAAGCUGCCAAAGAAGAGAGGAGUCGAGCUUGGGAUCACAAUCAGUGCCAGUAAAAAGCCGGGCGAGCCUCUGAUCAUAUCUGACAUAAAGAAAGGAAGCAUGGCUCACAGAACAGGGACUUUGGAGCCUGGAGACAAGCUGCUGGCUAUAGAUAACAUUCGACUGGAGAGCUGCUCAAUGGAAGAUGCGAUGCAGAUCCUUCAACAGAGUGAAGACCUGGUCAAGCUCAAGAUCCGCAAGGAUGAAGACAACUCUGAUGAACAGGAGACAUCAGGCUCCAUUAUCUACACAGUGGAGCUGAAGCGGUAUGGCGGCCCCCUGGGCAUCACCAUCUCAGGCACCGAGGAGCCCUUUGACCCCAUCGUCAUCUCAGGCCUCACCAAGAGAGGUCUAGCUGAAAGAACAGGGGCUAUUCAUGUUGGAGAUCGUAUCCUUGCCAUUAACAACGUGAGUCUGAAAGGCAAACCUCUGAGUGAAGCUAUCCACUUACUUCAAAUGGCUGGCGAGAGCGUGACGCUGAAAAUCAAAAAGCAGAUCGAUGUGGCAGAUGAGAAGAAGAACACUAUAGAUCUUGAUAACGAGCUCAGCGAUAAUGAUGACUCGGAAAUGACGGACUCUCAAAAGACCAGUAAAUUGUCCGAGAUCUACUCCACCACCAUUCCCAGCGUAGACUCGGCUAUGGAAUCAUGGGAUGGAUCUACUAUAGAUGCUAGUUAUGGGAGCCAAAGCUACAUCCAGCAGGUAGCAGGUAUCGCGUUACAUCCACAUGAGUGGCGCAGUGCCACGAACAGGAACAGCACCCCACCUCCUGGCCACCGCAAGAAUUACCUACUGAGUGAUGGAGGAUUCAGUGAGGAGGACUGGGACAAGAAUGCUGGAUUUGCCAGCCAGACUCAUGCUGAUGGCAUCGUGCUGGACCAUGAGGACAACUUCUGGUGCCAGGCCCUGGAAGACUUGGAGACGUGUGGGCAGUCAGAACUCCUCCGUGAGAUCGAGGCCUCCAUAAUGACUGGCAGCACUGUGAGUUUGGGUGUAGAGAGCACCAAGUCUCACAGUGAAUCAGGGAGCCAGGCCAACAUCAGCCCUCUCAGAAAGAGCUCGCAUCUUCGCAAUGAGGCAAAGAGCAAGAGCACGCUACGCAUGUCAGAGAAGACAUGGGAAUCAAGGAGGAUCAAGGAGGAGAUGCAAGAGAUCCUGUCACCCACCCCACUAGAGCUACACAAGGUGACGGUGAUUAAGGAUCCAGAAAGAGAUGAUUUUGGCUUCAGUGUGUCAGAUGGUUUCUUGGAGAAAGGUGUCUACGUGAACAUGAUCCGGCCCGAGGGUCCAGCAGACCGUGCAGGACUCAGGCCGUAUGACAGGAUCCUCCAGGUCAAUCAUGUGCGAACACGAGAUUUUGACUGCUGCUUGGCCGUGCCUCUUAUCACAGAAGCUGGAGAUAAACUGGAGCUGGUUAUAAGCAGAAACCCAUUAGCUCAGCCUGGUGUUGGUCAGCCCCUCGACUGCCAUUCACUCUCAGCUCCUUUGACUCACAGCCGAGAACACAGCAACAGCACCAUGGACCUGUGACAGCACACUGACUUGGGGCUUACACCCUGAAAGGACAAUACAAAUUCACCAGGAACUGCUGUACAUGCCAUUCAACACAAUCUGGAUCUUGGACUAUAUGUUCAACAAAUGUGACCGUUUUGGAUUUCGGUUUUCAGUAAAAACAUAAGCAGUGAUUUGUGCUAAUGUUUUAAUUUUUUUUGUUGAACAGAACUGUGAUUAUAGUGAAACAGGAAGUGUGAACGAGCUACUAGACCCUGUCCAACACUUACAGAGUCUUCUUGUUUUCACAGUAAACAAAGAGCUACUUCUUGUCCAGCAGCAUAAAAAAAGAAAUGAUCCUGGAUGAAGGUAAAAUUUUACACCAGUGUGUAUAGUGUACACGUUUGUUGUCUUUCCAUGAUGACCACUUCAGAAAAAAGAACAUGCCAUGCAUAACGUUUUUAUUAAACACUGUAUUUUUCCACUAUAAAACCAAGCCAUGAACUCAGCUCUUUGGAUAAGCAAGUUUCAAAAUUUGUUUGGCACUGACAGGCCAAAUACAACCCUGUCACAUGCUCAGUCACAAAAUCUCUCUCUCUCUCACUCUCUCUCUUACUCUCACUCCCUCUUUUCUAGCCAUUCUUUCUCGCCCACUCAUACACUGGACUAAAGAGUGGACGAAAACAAUGCACAAGAGGACCGAAUCAGGUUAAAUCGAAACCUAAGAAAGACGCAGUUCAAAGAUCAAAGAUCCGACAUGACACACUAUUCCUUUAUUUGACCGAGGCGGGACAAUCAGUUGGUUUUGUUUGUACAAGAAGACAAAUUAAUUUCUUACAUCUCCAACUGCACACACCUCCUCAAGCAGUGACGAAAUAGAAACAAACACAACCCUGUUAUACCAGCAACAAUAUUACGUAAUCAGGAAAAAGAAAAAUGGACUUUGCACACAGACACACACACACACACACACACACACACCCCAGUGUUUGCUGUUAGAUUUGAUACUCAGAAAGGCUUUUAUGCUCAUGACCCCUUCUUAUUUGUUCUUCUCCUACAUAAACUUUUCCACAUUUUAUAGUGUUAUAACCUGUAAUUAAAAUGGAUUUAGUUGCCAUUUUUACCAUUUGAUUUACAAAAUAUAUUUAUUUAAAGGUGCAAAAUAAUUUUAAUUGUGACAAAAAAUUUUUUAACCAAUUAACCAAAAAAGCAGACAUUUUUUUUGGUUUACAUAUUUACUCACCCCCUUGAUCGAACCACCUUUGAUUCCUAUUCUCCUGCAAUUUGAUUGAGGUUUGGAAUUUAAAUGGGCCAUUCUAUCAUAUUCCAGUUAUUGGUUUUGAACCACUCCAGCCUAGAUUUGGCAGAAUGCUUAGGGUUGCUAUCCUGUUGGACAGUGAACCUCCACCCCAGUCUCAAAUUUCUUACAGACUGGAACAGGUUUGUUUCUAGGGUUGCCCUGUAUUAGGCUCCAUCCAACUUGCCCUCAACUCUGAGCAGUUUCACAGUCCCUUAGGAUAUAAGCAUCCCCACAUUAAGAUGCUACCACCAUCAUGCUUCACUGUGAAGGUGUUUUUCUCAUGGUGAUGAGCAGUGUUUAAUUUCUCUCAAACAUAGGGCUUUGUGCCAAGACCAAGAACUUCAGCUUUGGUUUAAUCAGAGUCUCCAACAUGCCUAUUGGCUAAUUCCAAAUGGGAUUUUGUAUGGCUAACCACUCUUCCAUAAAGCCCAGCUUUGUGGAUUGUUCUGGGUAUGGUUGUCUUGUGAACAGCUUAUACCAUUUUGGUUGCUUCUCUGUCUAAAGCCAUCUUUGCCUGGUCACUGACUUUUUGUGGACCUCCUCUACACAGAAUAACAGUUGUGCCAUAAAAAAAGGAUUUAACUGUUGAAAAUAUACUUCCUUUGAUAGUUCCUUGGUCUUCAUGAUGCUAUUUAUUUAUGUAUGUUCUCUAAAAAGAACUAUGGGUCUCUCUAGGAACAGUAUUUGUUUUGAGAUCAUGUGGCAUGCUUUUUGCACAGACAUGGAUUUGAGUACUUAUAUGAUAUCUGAUGACAACCAUGUACCUAAACUAAUUGAGGGGUUUUCCAGCAACAGGGUGAAUACUGAAAAUCAAAAUCGCAAGUUUUACAAUUUUAUUUGUAAAUAAUUUCACAAACUAUAUAUAUUUGCCUACCUACUUGGAUAUUAUGAGAUUGUAUGUAGAUAAAGGCCAUGUAAUUCCAAAUAAAUGCAUUUGAGUUUCAAGUUGUAACACUAGAAAAUGUGGAAAAGUUCAGGGGGGAGGGAUUAAUACAUGCAAGGCACUGUAACUAUAACAAUGCAUCUACACCAUUCAGCACAUGUGUACAGGACUCAAGGGCACAUUUCUUCCUUUCACAAUGGCCUUUGUAGGCAAGCCAUGAUAUAACUGCUGAAGCUUGCCAAAUAUCUCCGACAUUUUGUUCAAGUUAUUUUCAUCUCACCUUCCUGAAAAGGUCUCAUAAAUCUGAGUGUAGCCAAGUCACCUUUGGAAAGAUCAAGCCAUUGGGUUUAGCCUGACUAGUUUGUCUGCUUGAUUAAGUUCUCUGUUUCAUUUACAAGCUGUCUAUGAUCUGAGUCAGAUAAUGCCAAGUGGUCUGAUGUGGAGGUCUUAAAAGACUAGGACUUGGCAGCUAAUCUCAUUUCUUUUCCGUUCCAUACAAGAACCUCCAAUUUAAGGACAAAAAGGAAGAUUACACAAAAAUCCAUGGAGCCAAAAUGCAGCAACAUCUGAUUUUCAGGCAGAACUUCCAUACUGCUUAUUUGCCCUUACAAUAAUGCGAUCAUGUGGACUGAGUGUACUGUACACUAAAAUCGUUCCUGUUGCCAUAAAGACAAAAUUCUGAGUAUUCGGUGGAAUUAUUUCCUGCCUUCUUUGCAGUACUAAUGACCAUGGUGGAAAGCACAAGCGAGAUCUCUUUCUAAUAAAACAGAAAGCACUCAUUGUUCUCAGAGACUUUGGUGAAUACACACUGGAACAAUCCAUGUCUCUGUUCACAUCUGUCCCACCCGGUGACACUCCUUCGUUCAGUCUCAUAAAACUAUUGAUGAUGGCCAAGAUUUCAUCAAAAGAUUUUUCACACAUAAAGAGCCUAACAUUAAAUGUCUUGUUUUACUAAGGCUUAGACCAGUGUUCAGACCUGGGACAUAAUUUUUACCUUUUCUCUCUUUGACAGUGUUCUAUGUUGAAUUUUGAAGUUUCCUUUGAAGCAUUCAAAACUGAAGACACCUGAUGAAUUGGGCUACUCAUCUGCCUUACUGUCUCAGACAUUGUGUAGACUUUCAGCAGGAAACUCAUUUAUUUUGAUUGGUUCCUGAAAUGAAAUUAUUUCAGAUUGGCUCAUAGCAGGUUUCUGGGGUUAAAUGCAUUUUUUUUACUCUGUAACAGUGAUAAAAGAUCCGUGUAACAAAGUUGAAUAUUCUAUUUUUAAAAACACAAGUAAACAUAAAAGUACUAUGAUUUAAUUAUACUAAAAAUGUUUUGAUGUUUUAAUGUUGUCUGAUUUGUGAUGUGAAAAAUUUGUCAUUUCCACAAUAAUGGAAGUUAUAUCCUUUUUUUGAGUGAAUCAUUACCCUUAAAAGGAAGAAAGAGCAGCAGUAUGAUUAAAAAAAAAAAAAAAAAAAAAAAAAAAA
Ictalurus punctatus (channel catfish) is the source of this 7033-nucleotide RNA transcript. It is a transcript of the gene named glutamate receptor interacting protein 2b, with no coding region annotated. The record is from RefSeq and is a predicted model, not a curated record. NCBI's taxonomy places the organism in Eukaryota, Metazoa, Chordata, Actinopteri, Siluriformes, Ictaluridae. The transcript has 25 exons.